RNAcentral lists this ribosomal RNA (465 nucleotides) under uncultured bacterium. RNAcentral describes it as "partial 16S ribosomal RNA". It matches the Rfam family "Bacterial small subunit ribosomal RNA", at positions 28 to 507 of the family's 1533-position model. The record is from RNAcentral.
GACGAACGCUGGCGGCGUGCUUAACACAUGCAAGUCGAACGGAAAGGCCCUGCUUGCAGGGUACUCGAGUGGCGAACGGGUGAGUAACACGUGGGUGAUCUGCCCUGCACUUCGGGAUAAGCCUGGGAAACUGGGUCUAAUACCGGAUAGGAGCCAUUUUUAGUGUGAUGGUUGGAAAGUUUUUUCGGUGUAGGAUGAGCUCGCGGCCUAUCAGCUUGUUGGUGGGGUAAUGGCCUACCAAGGCGGCGACGGGUAGCCGGCCGGAGAGGGUGGACGGACACAUUGGGACUGAGAUACGGCCCAGACUCCUACGGGAGGCAGCAGGGGGGAAUAUUGCACAAUGGGCGCAAGCCUGAUGCAGCGACGCCGCGUGGGGGAUGACGGCCUUCGGGUUGUAAACUCCUUUCGCUAGGGACGAAGCUUUUUGUGACGGUACCUAGAUAAGAAGCACCGGCUAACUACGUG